Molecule: ribosomal RNA, 465 nt
Filed under: Vreelandella stevensii
Lineage: Bacteria; Pseudomonadati; Pseudomonadota; Gammaproteobacteria; Oceanospirillales; Halomonadaceae
Description: partial 16S ribosomal RNA
Rfam family: Bacterial small subunit ribosomal RNA
Source: RNAcentral
CCUACGGGCGGCAGCAGUGGGGAAUAUUGGACAAUGGGCGAAAGCCUGAUCCAGCCAUGCCGCGUGUGUGAAGAAGGCCUUCGGGUUGUAAAGCACUUUCAGUGGGGAAGAAAGCCUUGGGGCUAAUACCCUCGAGGAAGGACAUCACCCACAGAAGAAGCACCGGCUAACUCCGUGCCAGCAGCCGCGGUAAUACGGAGGGUGCGAGCGUUAAUCGGAAUUACUGGGCGUAAAGCGCGCGUAGGCGGUCUGAUAAGCCGGUUGUGAAAGCCCCGGGCUCAACCUGGGAACGGCAUCCGGAACUGUCAGGCUAGAGUGCAGGAGAGGAAGGUAGAAUUCCCGGUGUAGCGGUGAAAUGCGUAGAGAUCGGGAGAAAUACCAGUGGCGAAGGCGACCUUCUGGACUGACACUGACGCUGAGGUGCGAAAGCGUGGGUAGCAAACAGGAUUAGAUACCCGUGUAGUC